AGAGUUUGAUCCUGGCUCAGGAUGAACGCUAGCGGCAGGCUUAAUACAUGCAAGUCGAGGGGCAACAGGGGUAGCAAUACCUGCUGGCGACCGGCAAACGGGUGCGGAACACGUACAGAACCUUCCUCUGAAGCGGGGGAUAGCCCGGAGAAAUCCGGAUUAAUACCCCAUAGUAUUAUUGUGUGGCAUCACAUGAUGAUUAAAGAUUUAUCACUUAGAGAUGGCUGUGCGGCUGAUUAGGUAGUUGGCGGGGUAAAGGCCCACCAAGCCAGCGAUCAGUAACUGGUGUGAGAGCACGACCAGUCACACGGGCACUGAGACACGGGCCCGACUCCUACGGGAGGCAGCAGUAAGGAAUAUUGGUCAAUGGAGGCAACUCUGAACCAGCCAUGCCGCGUGAAGGAUGAAGGUCCUCUGGAUUGUAAACUUCUUUUAUGUGGGAAGAAACCGAUGGAAUAAUCUGUCGUUGACGGUACCAUAGGAAUAAGCACCGGCUAACUCCGUGCCAGCAGCCGCGGUAAUACGGAGGGUGCGAGCGUUAUCCGGAUUCACUGGGUUUAAAGGGUGCGUAGGUGGGAAUGUAAGUCAGUGGUGAAAUCUCUGAGCUUAACUCAGAAACUGCCAUUGAUACUAUGUUUCUUGAAUUUUCUGGAGGUCAGCGGAAUAUGUCAUGUAGCGGUGAAAUGCUUAGAUAUGACAUAGAACACCAAUUGCGAAGGCAGCUGGCUACAGGGAUAUUGACACUGAGGCACGAAAGCGUGGGGAUCAAACAGGAUUAGAUACCCUGGUAGUCCACGCCCUAAACGAUGGAUACUCGACAUUUGUGAUAGACAAUAAGUGUCUGAGCGAAAGCAUUAAGU
This 860-nucleotide ribosomal RNA is filed under the name uncultured Bacteroidota bacterium. RNAcentral's name for it is "bacterial SSU rRNA". It matches the Rfam family "Bacterial small subunit ribosomal RNA", at positions 8 to 865 of the family's 1533-position model. Lineage: Bacteria; Pseudomonadati; Bacteroidota. The record is from RNAcentral.